AAGAGAUUAUGUUAGAGCAAGUUCCCACAUAAGAGGACAUAGCUAAUCCUUUUGACCGGUUGUUAUGCAUUAUGAAUCAUAACAAACACUUUGAGUGUUUGGGCAUUGGAUAUCUUAGAGACUGGCUUUAGUCAGUGGGAGUAAAAGUAAUAUGUCUAGAAAUAAUCUAUGUUGAGACUUAUUACUUGAUCACAUUUAUGACAUUUGAUGUCACUAAUG
Molecule: long non-coding RNA, 219 nt
Filed under: Salvia miltiorrhiza (redroot sage)
Lineage: Eukaryota; Viridiplantae; Streptophyta; Magnoliopsida; Lamiales; Lamiaceae
Description: long non-coding RNA (SMIL_LNC012829)
Source: RNAcentral